CGGGACAUUUUUUCAUUCUUUUAUUCUUUAGAUUCAAUUUCUUCCUUCUUUCCUUUUCCUCCUUUUUUGACUCCAAACUAUGUACAUCCCCCUUCCACUAUAGAUAGCGCGAGCACCUCUCUGCUCAUUUGGAUCCAGUUUUUAACUGGGAGGGAGCUUUUCCAUGAUAUCUUAACUGGGACCAAUGCCAAAGCGGGGGUAGAAAUUUAUGCUCCCCAAUUUUUUGCCCGUCAGCUUGGUUUUGGCCAAACUUGGCCUGUUCCUCUUUGCUAUUCGAAGAGCUUAAUUGACCGUUUUCAUACCAUUAAUAAG
RNAcentral lists this long non-coding RNA (312 nucleotides) under Olea europaea (common olive). RNAcentral describes it as "long non-coding RNA (OEUR_LNC011386)". Lineage: Eukaryota; Viridiplantae; Streptophyta; Magnoliopsida; Lamiales; Oleaceae. The record is from RNAcentral.